GCGGGGAGCAUAUCAAUAAGCGGGGGAUCUUGGUCAUUAAGAGGAAAGUAAGCGGAGGAGCAUAUUAAUAAUGGGCGGAAAUCGGGGGCAUGUGCACGCUCUGUUUACACAUACACUCACACCUGUGCACCCUCUGUAGUUCUGUGGUCAGGGGUCCCAUCCCCUUGCCGUGGUUCUACGUAUUUACACACACACCGUAACAAAGUCUCAUGGAAUGUUGCCGCGUUUAACGCAAUACAAUACAACUUUCAGCAACGGAUCUCUUGGCUCUCGCAUCGAUGAAGAACGCAGCGAAAUGCGAUAAGUAAUGUGAAUUGCAGAAUUCAGUGAAUCAUCGAAUCUUUGAACGCACCUUGCGCCCUUUGGCUAUUCUGAAGGGCAUGCCUGUUUGAGUAUCAUGAACACCUCAACUCUCAUGGUUUGCCAUGAUGAGCUUGGACUUUGGGGGUUUUGCUGGCCUUUGGUCAGCUCCUCUCAAACGGAUCAGCUUGCCAGUGUUUGGUGGCAUCACGAGUGUGAUAACUAUCUACGCUCGUGGUUUUCCGCCAGGUAACCUUCAGUGAUGGAGGUUCGCUGGAGCUCAUAAACGUCUCUCCUCAGCGAGGACAGCAUUUGAACGUUUGAUCUCAAAUCACGUAGGACUACCCGCUGAACUUAAGCAUAUCAAUUA
This 670-nucleotide ribosomal RNA is filed under the name uncultured Thelephoraceae. RNAcentral describes it as "eukaryotic LSU rRNA". The stretch from base 244 to 398 matches the Rfam family "5.8S ribosomal RNA". Lineage: Eukaryota; Fungi; Basidiomycota; Agaricomycetes; Thelephorales; Thelephoraceae. The record is from RNAcentral.